This 497-nucleotide ribosomal RNA is filed under the name fungal endophyte sp. DM118. RNAcentral's name for it is "eukaryotic LSU rRNA". It matches the Rfam family "Eukaryotic large subunit ribosomal RNA", at positions 144 to 656 of the family's 3401-position model. The record is from RNAcentral. Lineage: Eukaryota; Fungi.
UGUAAUUUGCAGAGGAUGCUUCGGGAGCGGUCCCCAUCUAAGUGCCCUGGAACGGGACGUCAUAGAGGGUGAGAAUCCCGUAUGGGAUGGGGUGUCCGCGCCCGUGUGAAGCUCCUUCGACGAGUCGAGUUGUUUGGGAAUGCAGCUCUAAAUGGGUGGUAAAUUUCAUCUAAAGCUAAAUAUUGGCCGGAGACCGAUAGCGCACAAGUAGAGUGAUCGAAAGAUGAAAAGCACUUUGAAAAGAGAGUUAAAAAGCACGUGAAAUUGUUGAAAGGGAAGCGCUUGCGACCAGACUCGCUCGCGGGGUUCAGCCGGCAUUCGUGCCGGUGUACUUCCCCGCGGGCGGGCCAGCGUCGGUUUGGGCGGUCGGUCAAAGGCCCUCGGAAGGUAACGCCCCUCGGGGCGUCUUAUAGCCGAGGGUGCAAUGCGACCUGCCCAGACCGAGGAACGCGCUUCGGCUCGGACGCUGGCAUAAUGGUCGUAAGCGACCCGUCUUG